AGAGAGAGACAUGCGCGCAUAUCAAUAAGCGGAGGAAAAGAAACUAACUAGGAUUCCCUCAGUAACGGCGAGUGAAGCGGGAAGAGCUCAAAUUUGAAAUCUUAAAGGGUUCUACCUUGACGAAUUGUAGUUUAAAGAAGUGUUUUCUGUUGGAGGUUUUGGUAAAAGUUCUUUGGAAUAGGACAUCAUAGAGGGUGAGAAUCCCGUAUUUGACCAUUAUUUCCAGCUUUGUGAUACACUUUCAAAGAGUCGGAUUGUUUGGGAAUGCAGUCCAAAAUGGGUGGUAAAUUUCAUCUAAAGCUAAAUAUUGGCGAGAGACCGAUAGCGAACAAGUACCGUGAGGGAAAGAUGAAAAGAACUUUGAAAAGAGAGUUAAACAGUACGUGAAAUUGUCAAAAGGGAAGCGUUUGACACCAGUGUUGUUUUCUCGAAAAUCAAUUAAAAAAGGCAGGAUUUUGUGUUGUAUUGACUUUAUCAGCUUUCUGCACUCUUUUCUUGUCUUUUUUAAUGCACUUUUCGUUUAACAAGUCAACAUCAAUUUCUUUUGUUGUAAAAGGGUCAUUGGAAGGUGGCUUUCUUUUCGGAGAAAGUGUUUAUAGCCUUUGGCCUCUGCAAUCGGAGAGAUUGAGGUCUGCAGCGUAGAUCCUUCGGGGUUAGAUACAUUUGUGCUAAGUUAUAGCCUUUCAUAGACAACUUGUUGACUAUGAUCAGUCAUGUAGCUUACUCGCUUAUGCUAUUUUACCUACGCUUAGGAUGUUGAUGUGAUACUGCGAGCA
This 776-nucleotide ribosomal RNA is filed under the name uncultured Neocallimastigales. Its description in RNAcentral is "partial large subunit ribosomal RNA". It matches the Rfam family "Eukaryotic large subunit ribosomal RNA", at positions 23 to 639 of the family's 3401-position model. The record is from RNAcentral. Lineage: Eukaryota; Fungi; Neocallimastigomycota; Neocallimastigomycetes; Neocallimastigales.